RNAcentral lists this ribosomal RNA (301 nucleotides) under uncultured bacterium. Its description in RNAcentral is "partial 16S ribosomal RNA". It matches the Rfam family "Bacterial small subunit ribosomal RNA", at positions 509 to 808 of the family's 1533-position model. The record is from RNAcentral.
CAGCCGCCGCGGGAAUACGUAGGUCCCGAGCGUUGUCCGGAUUUAUUGGGCGUAAAGGGAGCGCAGGCGGUUUAGUAAGUCUGAAGUUAAAGGCAUUGGCUCAACCAAUGUAUGCUUUGGAAACUGUUUAACUUGAGUGCAAGAGGGGAGAGUGGAAUUCCAUGUGUAGCGGUGAGAUGCGUAGAUAUAUGGAGGAACACCGGUGGCGAGAGCGGCUCUCUGGCUUGUAACUGACGCUGAGGCUCGAAAGCGUGGGGAGCAAACAGGAUUAGAUACCCCCGUAGUCCCUGUCUCUUAUACA